AACGCGAAGAACCUUACCUGGAUUUGACAUCCUCUGACAAACGUAGAGAUACGUCUUCUGUAGCAAUACAGCAGAGAGACAGGUGCUGCAUGGCUGUCGUCAGCUCGUGUGGUGACAUGUUGGGUUAAGUCCCGCAACGAGCGCAACCCCUGUCCUUAGUUGCCAGCAUUCAGUUGGGCUCUCUAAGGAGACUGCCGUGGUUAACACGGAGGAAGGUGGGGAUGACGUCAAGUCCUCAUGGCCUUUAUAUCCAGGGCGACACACGUGAUACAAUGGACGGUACAGAGGGAAGCGAAAGCGCGAGCUGGAGCCAAUCUCAAAAAGCCGUUCUCAGUUCGGAUUGGAGUCUGCAACUCGACUCCAUGAAGCUGGAAUCGCUAGUAAUCGCGGAUCAGAACGCCGCGGUGAAUACGUUCCCGGGCCUUGUACACACCGCUCGCGA
RNAcentral lists this ribosomal RNA (442 nucleotides) under uncultured bacterium. Its description in RNAcentral is "bacterial SSU rRNA". It matches the Rfam family "Bacterial small subunit ribosomal RNA", at positions 958 to 1399 of the family's 1533-position model. The record is from RNAcentral.